This 468-nucleotide ribosomal RNA is filed under the name uncultured bacterium. RNAcentral describes it as "partial 16S ribosomal RNA". It matches the Rfam family "Bacterial small subunit ribosomal RNA", at positions 28 to 507 of the family's 1533-position model. The record is from RNAcentral.
GACGAACGCUGGCGGCGUGCUUAACACAUGCCAGUCGAACGGAAAGGCCCUGCUUUUGUGGGGUGCUCGAGUGGCGAACGGGUGAGUAACACGUGAGUAACCUGCCCUUGACUUUGGGAUAACUUCAGGAAACUGGGGCUAAUACUGGAUAGGAGCUCCUGCUGCAUGGUGGGGGUUGGAAAGUUUCGGCGGUUGGGGAUGGACUCGCGGCUUAUCAGCUUGUUGGUGGGGUAGUGGCUUACCAAGGCUUUGACGGGUAGCCGGCCUGAGAGGGUGACCGGCCACAUUGGGACUGAGAUACGGCCCAGACUCCUACGGGAGGCAGCAGUGGGGAAUAUUGCACAAUGGGCGGAAGCCUGAUGCAGCAACGCCGCGUGCGGGAUGACGGCCUUCGGGUUGUAAACCGCUUUCGCCUGUGACGAAGCGUGAGUGACGGUAAUGGGUAAAGAAGCACCGGCUGACUACGUG